This 502-nucleotide ribosomal RNA is filed under the name uncultured Actinomycetes bacterium. RNAcentral's name for it is "bacterial SSU rRNA". It matches the Rfam family "Bacterial small subunit ribosomal RNA", at positions 8 to 522 of the family's 1533-position model. Lineage: Bacteria; Bacillati; Actinomycetota; Actinomycetes. The record is from RNAcentral.
AGAGUUUGAUCAUGGCUCAGGACGAACGCUGGCGGCGUGCUUAACACAUGCAAGUCGAACGGUAAGGCCCCUUCGGGGGUACACGAGUGGCGAACGGGUGAGUAACACGUGAGCAACCUGCCCUUGACACCGGAAUAACAGUUGGAAACAGCUGCUAAUGCCGGAUACGACCUCCGAUGGCAUCAUCUGGAGGUGGAAAGCGAUUCAGCGGUCAAGGAUGGGCUCGCGGCCUAUCAGCUUGUUGGUGAGGUAACGGCUCACCAAGGCUUCGACGGGUAGCCGGCCUGAGAGGGCGACCGGCCACACUGGGACUGAGAUACGGCCCAGACUCCUACGGGAGGCAGCAGUGGGGAAUAUUGCACAAUGGGCGCAAGCCUGAUGCAGCAACGCCGCGUGCGGGAUGACGGCCUUCGGGUUGUAAACCGCUUUCAGUUCCGACGAAGCGCAAGUGACGGUAGGAACAGAAGAAGGACCGGCCAACUACGUGCCAGCAGCCGCGGUG